CGUGCCUAACACAUGCAAGUCGAACGAAGCAAUUGAAGGAAGUUUUCGGAUGGAAUUCGAUUGACUGAGUGGCGGACGGGUGAGUAACGCGUGGAUAACCUGCCUCACACUGGGGGAUAACAGUUAGAAAUGACUGCUAAUACCGCAUAAGCGCACAGUACCGCAUGGUACAGUGUGAAAAACUCCGGUGGUGUGAGAUGGAUCCGCGUCUGAUUAGCCAGUUGGCGGGGUAACGGCCCACCAAAGCGACGAUCAGUAGCCGACCUGAGAGGGUGACCGGCCACAUUGGGACUGAGACACGGCCCAAACUCCUACGGGAGGCAGCAGUGGGGAAUAUUGCACAAUGGGCGAAAGCCUGAUGCAGCGACGCCGCGUGAGUGAAGAAGUAUUUCGGUAUGUAAAGCUCUAUCAGCAGGGAAGAAAAUGACGGUACCUGACUAAGAAGCCCCGGCUAACUACGUGCCAGCAGCCGCGGUAAUACGUAGGGGGCAAGCGUUAUCCGGAUUUACUGGGUGUAAAGGGAGCGUAGACGGCGAAGCAAGUCUGAAGUGAAAACCCAGGGCUCAACCCUGGGACUGCUUUGGAAACUGUUUUGCUAGAGUGUCGGAGAGGUAAGUGGAAUUCCUAGUGUAGCGGUGAAAUGCGUAGAUAUUAGGAGGAACACCAGUGGCGAAGGCGGCUUACUGGACGAUA
This 693-nucleotide ribosomal RNA is filed under the name uncultured Lachnospiraceae bacterium. RNAcentral describes it as "bacterial SSU rRNA". It matches the Rfam family "Bacterial small subunit ribosomal RNA", at positions 43 to 738 of the family's 1533-position model. The record is from RNAcentral. Lineage: Bacteria; Bacillati; Bacillota; Clostridia; Lachnospirales; Lachnospiraceae.